RNAcentral lists this transfer RNA (78 nucleotides) under Betaproteobacteria bacterium HGW-Betaproteobacteria-7. RNAcentral describes it as "tRNA-Leu". The record is from RNAcentral. Lineage: Bacteria; Pseudomonadati; Pseudomonadota; Betaproteobacteria.
GCCCAGGUGGCGGAAUUGGUAGACGCACUAGUUUCAGGUACUAGCGGGUAACUCCGUGGGGGUUCUUCCUGGGCACCA